AAAGUAUUUUUAAACUUUUAUUAAAA
Molecule: transfer RNA, 26 nt
Filed under: Apis mellifera (honey bee)
Lineage: Eukaryota; Metazoa; Arthropoda; Insecta; Hymenoptera; Apidae
Description: partial tRNA-Leu
Source: RNAcentral